GAAGUUGAGGUUGCUUAUUUGCCUCUAGGUCUUAACUGAUUGAAAGAGGAUCUUGAACUUAAAUACAGAAAAGGAUGUUUUAACUCUGCGCAACGUUUUUCUAACGUUUCUUUCACUUUUAAAGAACAUACUAGUGAUUCACAAAAUUCCUGAUACACUGAACUGAUAAGUUGUGUGGUUAACAUACCGCCUUGUGGAUCAAAAGGUCCAGGGUUCGAACCGCGACAUGCUGCACUUUUAUCUACGAAAGUGUUCUAUCUGUAUGAGGAAGUCCAACAUGUCUUCGUCAAUCACGUGUAUCGUAUUUGUCGUCGUACUCUACUUCGUCCCUGCUAUGCUU
This is a long non-coding RNA of Limulus polyphemus (Atlantic horseshoe crab), 340 nucleotides long. RefSeq lists it as uncharacterized. The transcript is spliced from 3 exons. The record is from RefSeq and is a predicted model, not a curated record. NCBI's taxonomy places the organism in Eukaryota, Metazoa, Arthropoda, Merostomata, Xiphosura, Limulidae.